Molecule: ribosomal RNA, 396 nt
Filed under: uncultured bacterium
Lineage: Bacteria
Description: partial 16S ribosomal RNA
Rfam family: Bacterial small subunit ribosomal RNA
Source: RNAcentral
AUACGUAGGGAGCGAGCGUUGUCCGGAAUUACUGGGUGUAAAGGGAGCGUAGGCGGGAGUGCAAGUCAGAUGUGAAAUACAUGGGCUCAACCCAUGGGCUGCAUUUGAAACUGCAUUUCUUGAGUGAAGUAGAGGUAAGCGGAAUUCCUGGUGUAGCGGUGAACUGCGUAGAUAUCAGGAGGAACACCGGUGGCGAAGGCGGCUUACUGGGCUUUUACUGACGCUGAGGCUCGAAAGCGUGGGGAGCAAACAGGAUUAGAUACCCUGGUAGUCCACGCUGUAAACGAUGAUUACUAGGUGUGGGGGGACUGACCCCUUCCGUGCCGCAGUUAACACAAUAAGUAAUCCACCUGGGGAGUACGGCCGCAAGGUUGAAACUCAAAUGAAUUGACGGGG